This 322-nucleotide long non-coding RNA is filed under the name Cairina moschata (Muscovy duck). RNAcentral's name for it is "domestica (muscovy Duck (domestic type)) lncRNA (ENSCMMG00000003665.1)". The record is from RNAcentral. Lineage: Eukaryota; Metazoa; Chordata; Aves; Anseriformes; Anatidae.
UACGGUGGGGUGUUGCACUGAAUUCUGCUACAUCCUUUUCUCUUCUAUAUUUUUGGGCUCUGUUAAGGUUCCUCCAGCCCCUGGGGAUGUGCCUCUUCCAGGCACGCAUAGAUCUGGCUUGACCAAGUAGAGUUGGCUUGGACCCUUCUGAUUCAAUUGUGUUCCUAGGCUUUGAGUCAACUUGCGAGGAUUGCUGCAGCUCCAUUGUGAUCCUGGGAGCCUCCCAUACAAACCUACUUCUGAAUUUCCCCAUGAAGAACUGACGGAGGAGCAGACUUCUUCCCUCCUUUUCACAGCUGGGCAGGGGAAAGGACAUCCUUAG